CAAAAGACCUGGAAAGACACUUUAUGUCCAAUGUUUAAUCGUUCGCUUUAUUUAAAUUUUUUUAUAAUUAGUGUUUGUUUUGCUAUUAGAUAAUAUAAAACAUGAAUAAUACUUUAUGUAUGACUAAUUUAUUUUAUUUUUUUCAUAUAUUUUAUAAAUAAGAUAGACGGUCAAAUAUUGGACAUGGAAACCAUAAUUACGCUUAAA
RNAcentral lists this microRNA precursor (207 nucleotides) under Oryza barthii. RNAcentral's name for it is "MIR812 microRNA precursor family". It matches the Rfam family "MIR812 microRNA precursor family". The record is from Rfam by way of RNAcentral. Lineage: Eukaryota; Viridiplantae; Streptophyta; Magnoliopsida; Poales; Poaceae.